Molecule: long non-coding RNA, 935 nt
Filed under: Homo sapiens (human)
Lineage: Eukaryota; Metazoa; Chordata; Mammalia; Primates; Hominidae
Description: HSALNT0120588
Source: RNAcentral
CCCAGGAGGCGGUCACCGCUGCCACAGGUGCAGGCUGUUAUCCUUGACAUCUGCAGCAGCCCUUCCAAGCUGUGGAGACCAGGUCAUCUGGAAUGCCCAUUUAUGUCAAUGGAAGAAAGAAAAAGGGGUCUCCUCCCAUCCUCACCACUGCAUUCUCCCACCAACCCUGCUCCUGUCCCACUUCCCACAACUCAGUUGUUGACAAUUUAACAGUGGGUUUCUGGAAACAGUGCUGCCUCCUUGAUGGUCUAACUAACUACCAGAGUUAUUCUAACAGCAGGAAUUUCAAGCCAGCAAACCAGACAUACAUAGGAGGCACAGCAAAAGACCCAAGGUGAGGGGCUUCCCUCACCUUCACCCUUGUUCUCACGUGGAGGUGGCGCAUGUCUAUGAGACACAGUACCCCACUCAGCGAUCCUCUGCAGUCCAGGAAAUUCUAGCACUUGCUUGGAAAACAAAUCAAGUGAAGCCUGUUGGCUUUUUGUGAGCUGCCUAUGGAGAAAUGCACAUGGCAAGGAACUGAGGGUUGCCUCCAGCAAACUGCUGGUGAGGGAGUGAGGCCUUCAGUCCAACAGCCUUUAAGGAACUGAAUCCUGCCAACAACCAUGUGAGUGGGCUUGGAGAUGGAUGCUACCACCAUCAAGCCUUCAGGAGUGAAUUUUUUUGUUCUUGAGACAGCGUCUCAUUCUGUUGCCCAGGAUGGAGUACAGUGGUGCCAUCUUCGCUCACUGCAGCCUUCGUCUCCCGGGUUCAAGCAAUUCUCCUGUCUCAGCCUCCCAAGUAGCUGGGAUUACAGACCCAUCAAGCCUUCAGAUAAGACUGCAGCCUCAUUACAGACCUUGAACUGGAGGCAGCCAGCUGAGUCACACCUGGAUUCCUGACCCUUAGAAACUAUGAGAUAAUAAAUGUUUACAGUUUUAAGCCACUAAGUUUCG